Molecule: ribosomal RNA, 245 nt
Filed under: uncultured bacterium
Lineage: Bacteria
Description: partial 16S ribosomal RNA
Rfam family: Bacterial small subunit ribosomal RNA
Source: RNAcentral
UAGGGAGCAAGCGUUAUCCGGAAUUAUUGGGUGUAAAGGGUGCGUAGACGGGAAAUUAAGUUAGUUGUGAAAUCCCUUGGCUUAACUGAGGAACUGCAACUAAAACUGGUUUUCUUGAGUAUUGGAGAGGAAAGUGGAAUUCCUAGUGUAGCGGUGAAAUGCGUAGAUAUUAGGAGGAACACCAGUGGCGAAGGCGACUUUCUGGACAAUAGCUGACGUUGAGGCACGAAAGGGUGGGGAGCAAA